Molecule: ribosomal RNA, 811 nt
Filed under: Staphylococcus aureus
Lineage: Bacteria; Bacillati; Bacillota; Bacilli; Caryophanales; Staphylococcaceae
Description: bacterial LSU rRNA
Rfam family: Bacterial large subunit ribosomal RNA
Source: RNAcentral
AGAUUAAGUUAUUAAGGGCGCACGGUGGAUGCCUUGGCACUAGAAGCCGAUGAAGGACGUUACUAACGACGAUAUGCUUUGGGGAGCUGUAAGUAAGCUUUGAUCCAGAGAUUUCCGAAUGGGGAAACCCAGCAUGAGUUAUGUCAUGUUAUCGAUAUGUGAAUACAUAGCAUAUCAGAAGGCACACCCGGAGAACUGAAACAUCUUAGUACCCGGAGGAAGAGAAAGAAAAUUCGAUUCCCUUAGUAGCGGCGAGCGAAACGGGAAGAGCCCAAACCAACAAGCUUGCUUGUUGGGGUUGUAGGACACUCUAUACGGAGUUACAAAGGACGACAUUAGACGAAUCAUCUGGAAAGAUGAAUCAAAGAAGGUAAUAAUCCUGUAGUCGAAAAUGUUGUCUCUCUUGAGUGGAUCCUGAGUACGACGGAGCACGUGAAAUUCCGUCGGAAUCUGGGAGGACCAUCUCCUAAGGCUAAAUACUCUCUAGUGACCGAUAGUGAACCAGUACCGUGAGGGAAAGGUGAAAAGCACCCCGGAAGGGGAGUGAAAUAGAACCUGAAACCGUGUGCUUACAAGUAGUCAGAGCCCGUUAAUGGGUGAUGGCGUGCCUUUUGUAGAAUGAACCGGCGAGUUACGAUUUGAUGCAAGGUUAAGCAGUAAAUGUGGAGCCGUAGCGAAAGCGAGUCUGAAUAGGGCGUUUAGUAUUUGGUCGUAGACCCGAAACCAGGUGAUCUACCCUUGGUCAGGUUGAAGUUCAGGUAACACUGAAUGGAGGACCGAACCGACUUACGUUGAAAAGUGAGCGGAUGAA